Molecule: ribosomal RNA, 731 nt
Filed under: uncultured bacterium
Lineage: Bacteria
Description: bacterial SSU rRNA
Rfam family: Bacterial small subunit ribosomal RNA
Source: RNAcentral
AACAGGAUUAGAUACCCUGGUAGUGCACGCCGUAAACGAUGUCUACUAGCUGUUCGUGGUCUUGUACUGUGAGUAGCGCAGCUAACGCACUAAGUAGACCGCCUGGGGAGUACGGUCGCAAGAUUAAAACUCAAAUGAAUUGACGGGGGCCCGCACAAGCGGUGGAGCAUGUGGUUUAAUUCGACGCAACGCGAAGAACCUUACCUACUCUUGACAUCUACGGAAGACUGCAGAGAUGCGGUUGUGCCUUCGGGAACCGUAAGACAGGUGCUGCAUGGCUGUCGUCAGCUCGUGUUGUGAAAUGUUGGGUUAAGUCCCGCAACGAGCGCAACCCCUAUCCUUAGUUGCCAGCACGUAAUGGUGGGAACUCUAGGGAGACUGCCGGUGAUAAACCGGAGGAAGGUGGGGACGACGUCAAGUCAUCAUGGCCCUUACGAGUAGGGCUACACACGUGCUACAAUGGUACGUACAGAGGGAGGCAAGCUGGCGACAGUGAGCGGAUCUCUUAAAGCGUAUCGUAGUCCGGAUCGCAGUCUGCAACUCGACUGCGUGAAGUCGGAAUCGCUAGUAAUCGCAAAUCAGAAUGUUGCGGUGAAUACGUUCCCGGGCCUUGUACACACCGCCCGUCACACCAUGGGAGUGGGUUGCAAAAGAAGUAGGUAGCUUAACCUUCGGGAGGGCGCUUACCACUUUGUGAUUCAUGACUGGGGUGAAGUCGUAACAAGGUAACC